RNAcentral lists this ribosomal RNA (736 nucleotides) under Scytonema sp. Leucking_16561. RNAcentral's name for it is "bacterial SSU rRNA". It matches the Rfam family "Bacterial small subunit ribosomal RNA", at positions 8 to 784 of the family's 1533-position model. Lineage: Bacteria; Bacillati; Cyanobacteriota; Cyanophyceae; Nostocales; Scytonemataceae. The record is from RNAcentral.
AGAGUUAUGAUCCUGGCUCAGGAUGACCGCUGGCGGUAUGCUUCACACAUGCAAGUCGAACGGUCUCUAUCGGAGAUAGCGCGCGGRCGGGUGAGCUACCGCGUGAGAAUCUGSGCUCUAGGUCGUGGGACMWCCGCUGGAMMCGGUGGCUAAUVCCGGGUGUGCCGAAAGGUGAAAGGUUAACYGCCUGGAGAUGAGCUCGCGUCUGAUUAGCUAGUUGGUAGGGUAAAGGCUUACCAAGGCGACGAUCAGUAGCUGGUCUGAGAGGACGAUCAGCCACACUGGGACUGAGACACGGCCCAGACUCCUACGGGAGGCAGCAGUGGGGAAUUUUCCGCAAUGGGCGAAAGCCUGACGGAGCAAUACCGCGUGAGGGAGGAAGGCUCUUGGGUUGUAAACCUCUUUUCUCAGGGAAGAAUAAUGACGGUACUUGAGGAAUAAGCAUCGGCUAACUCCGUGCCAGCAGCCGCGGUAAUACGGAGGAUGCAAGCGUUAUCCGGAAUGAUUGGGCGUAAAGCGUUCGCAGGUGGCAUUGAAAGUCUGCUGUCAAAGAGUCUGGCUCAACCAGGUACAGGCAGUGGAAACUUCAAAGCUAGAGUGCGGUAGGGGCAGAGGGAAUUCCUGGUGUAGCGGUGAAAUGCGUAGAGUUCAGGAAGAACACCGGUGGCGAAAGCGCUCUGCUAGACCGCAACUGACACUGAGGGACGAAAGCUAGGGGAGCGAAAGGGAUUAGAUA